UACGUAGGGGGCAAGCGUUAUCCGGAUUUACUGGGUGUAAAGGGAGCGUAGACGGCGAUGCAAGCCAGAUGUGAAAGCCCGGGGCUCAACCCCGGGACUGCAUUUGGAACUGUAUAGCUAGAGUGUCGGAGAGGCAGGCGGAAUUCCUAGUGCAGCGGUGAAACGCGUAGAUAUUAGGAGGAACACCAGUGGCGAAGGCGGCCUGCUGGACGAUGACUGACGUUGAGGCUCGAAAGCGUGGGGAGCAAACAGG
Molecule: ribosomal RNA, 253 nt
Filed under: uncultured bacterium
Lineage: Bacteria
Description: partial 16S ribosomal RNA
Rfam family: Bacterial small subunit ribosomal RNA
Source: RNAcentral